AACGAACGCUAUCGGUAUGCUUAACACAUGCAAGUCGAACGGACUAAUUGGGGCUUGCUCCAAUUAGUUAGUGGCAGACGGGUGAGUAAUAUAUAGGAAUCUACCUAGUAGUAUGAAAUAAUUGUUAGAAAUGACAGCUAAUAUCAUAUACGCCUUACGAGGGAAAGAUUUAUCGCUAUUAGAUGAGCCUAUAUUGGAUUAGCUAGUUGGUAAGGUAAUGGCUUACCAAGGCAGUGAUCUAUAGCUGGUCUGAGAGGAUGAUCAGCCACACUGGAAUUGAGAUACGGUCCAGAC
RNAcentral lists this ribosomal RNA (294 nucleotides) under bacterium endosymbiont of Otiorhynchus rugosostriatus. RNAcentral describes it as "partial 16S ribosomal RNA". It matches the Rfam family "Bacterial small subunit ribosomal RNA", at positions 29 to 336 of the family's 1533-position model. The record is from RNAcentral.